CAUCUAAGCACGAAACUUGCCCCGAGAUGAGUGCUCCCUGAGAAUUGAAGUCUCCUGAAGGAACGUUAAAGACGAUGACGUUGAUAGGCCGGGGGUGUAAGCGCAGCGAUGCGUUGAGCUAACCGGUACUAAUGAACCGUGAGGCUUAACCUUACAACGCCGAAG
This 165-nucleotide ribosomal RNA is filed under the name Klebsiella pneumoniae. RNAcentral's name for it is "partial 23S ribosomal RNA". It matches the Rfam family "Bacterial large subunit ribosomal RNA", at positions 2778 to 2925 of the family's 2925-position model. The record is from RNAcentral. Lineage: Bacteria; Pseudomonadati; Pseudomonadota; Gammaproteobacteria; Enterobacterales; Enterobacteriaceae.